GAUGAACGCUGGCGGCGUGCUUAACACAUGCAAGUUGAACGGUAUGACAUGGAAGCUUGCUGAAGUGUCAUAUAGUAGCGGACGGGUGAGUAAUGCAUGAGAAGCUGCCAUUGGGAGGGGGACAACAGUUGGAAACGGCUGCUAAUACCCCGUAUGCCGGAAGGUGAAAGGGAGCGAUCCGCCCGAUGAGGUGCUCAUGUCCUAUCAGCUGGUUGGUGGGGUAACGGCCUACCAAGGCGACGACGGGUAGCCGGCCUGAGAGGGUGAACGGCCACACUGGAACUGAGAUACGGUCCAGACUCCUACGGGAGGCAGCAGUGGGGAAUAUUGGGCAAUGGGGGGAACCCUGACCCAGCGACGCCGCGUGAGGGAAGACGGCCUUCGGGUUGUAAACCUUUUUUGUACGGGAAGAAGGAAGUGACGGUACUGUACGAAUAAGUCCCGGCUAACUACGUGCCAGCCGCCGCAGUAA
This 472-nucleotide ribosomal RNA is filed under the name uncultured bacterium. Its description in RNAcentral is "partial 16S ribosomal RNA". It matches the Rfam family "Bacterial small subunit ribosomal RNA", at positions 28 to 523 of the family's 1533-position model. The record is from RNAcentral.